RNAcentral lists this long non-coding RNA (4526 nucleotides) under Equus caballus (horse). RNAcentral's name for it is "lncRNA (ENSECAG00000052047.1)". The record is from RNAcentral. Lineage: Eukaryota; Metazoa; Chordata; Mammalia; Perissodactyla; Equidae.
UCUGAGGCAACAAAAAGCACACUGUGACAUCACAGGAAGUUAUAUAAACAGCUUCACAUCCCUUUUAGAGCAAGAGAAGGUAAAGCCACACCCACAACACUGCUCUCCCCCAGGACUACCUUAGCCAAGUAUUGUGAAUGAGAGCUUCUGAAUCUGAGCUUUGUUUCCAGGCUCCAAGGAGAUCACCAAGAACUCCGUACCUGGAAGAGCCCUUCUUCUAACAGCAUCCAAGGGAUUCAACUGUGCAGCUGAGUCAGUGAGCGGUGUGUGCUAACCCAGGGACCGGAGGUUUGCUGGGGGACUCACGUGAGUUCAUGGGCCUCGGAAAUGUUUCUACAGAAGAGCACACAGUCCGUGUAGCGCAGAAUUGGGAAAACAUGCUGUGUGCAUGACACCUGCUGUGACGCAGCCAUCCGGGCCUCUGUGUGGAAAGGACAGCAGGCGUGACAGAAUGGGCAAUGGACAGCGACGACUGGAAUUGUACUUCCCUCUUCUUCCACAUGGUAAUUUUGUCUCUCUACUUUUUUACCUUUGACCCCCUUCAAACAAACUGGAUGCAUUUUGUCACUUGAUGGACAUUUGUGGGUUUUCUACUUUUGGGUUACUAUGAAGAAUGCUGCUAUGAACAUUCGUGAACAAGAUUUUGUGCGGAUAAAUGUUUCCAUUUCUCUUGGCUACAUACCUCGGAGUGGAAUAGCUGGGACAUAUGGCAAUUCUGUGUUUAACUUUCUGAGGAAUGGCCAAACUGUUCUCCACAGCAGCUGCACCUUUUUAAAUUCCCCCCAGCAAUGUAUGAGGGUUCCAAUUUCUCCACAUUCUCAUCAACACUUGUUAUUUUCUGGGGAUUGCUUCAAAGCAAGCAUCCUAAUGAAUGAAAAAUGAUAUCUCGUGGUAUUGAUUGGCAUUUCCCUAAUGACUAGUUAUGUGUGUCUCUUUCCAUGCGCUUAUUGCCCAUUUGUGUAUCUUCUUUGGAAAAAUGCCUUCACAACCUUUUGCACAUUUUUAAAUUGGGCUGUUGUCUUGUUAUGGAGUUUUAAGAGCUCUUUAAAUAUUCUGGAUAAUAGACCCUCAUCAGAUAUAUGGUUUACAAAUACUUUUCUCCAUUCUGGGAGGUGCCAUUUCACUCUUCAUCGUGUCUUUUGAGGCACAAAAGUUUUUAAUUUUCAUGAAGUCCAAUUUAUCCAGUUUUCCUUUUUUUUUUGCUUGUGCUUUGGGUGUCCUAUUUAAGUCUAAUCGAAUCUGAAGUCACAAAGAUUUACACCUACAUUUUCUUCUAAGAGUUUUAUAGUUUUAGCUCUUACAUUUACAACUUUGAUCCCUUUAGAAUUAACUUUCAAAGAUUCUGUGAGGUAGAGGUUCAAAUUUACUGUUUUGCAUGUGGAUAUCCAGUUGUCCCCCACCAUUUGACGAAAAGACAAUUCGUUCCCCACUGAAUGGUGUUACCACUCUUCUCAAAAAGUAACGGAUCAUAUAAAGAAAAUGUCGUCUCUAGAUAGAUAUAAGGGAAUACCAUUCAGUCAUAAAAAAGAAUGAAAUCUUGCCAUUUGCAACAACAUGGAUGGACCUUGAGGGCAUUACGCUAAGCAAAAUAAGUCAGACACAGAAGACAAAUACUGCAUGAUCUCGCUUAUAUGAGGAAUAAAGGAAAAAAAACACCUCAUAGAUUCAGAGAACAGACUGCUGGUUGCCAGAGGUGAAGGGUGAAAUGGGUGAAGGGAGCCAAAACGUACAAACGUCCAGUUAUAAAAUAAGUCAGUCACGAGGAUGUAAUGUACAGCUUGGCGAUUACAGCUACAAUACUUGUAUCGCGUAUUAGAAAGUCGCCGAGAGAGGAAAUCUUCAAAGUUCUCAUCGUGGGAAAAAACAAUUCUGUAACUACAUAUGGUGACAACAUUAACCAGACUCAUCGUGGUGAGCAUUUCAGAACUAUAUGCAAAUACAAAAUCAUUAUGUUGCACACCUGAAACUAAUAGGAUGUUGGAGGUCAAUUGUACCUCAGUAUAAAUAAUGGAUCACAGUGUGUGUGUUUACUACUGGACUCACAAUUCUAUUCUAUCGAUCUGUGUGUGUCCUCAUGCCCAUACCAUAGUCUGAUCACCGUAACCUUCUAGGACAUUUUGGAAGCAGAAAGUGAGUCCUUCAACGUUGUCCUUUUUCAAAAUGUUUUUGGCUAUUGGUGGUCCCUCGCAAUUGUAUAUGAAUUUGAGCACGAGUCUGUCCAUUUCUGCAAAUAAGGCAGUUGGGAUUUGGACAAGAAUUGCAUUGAAUGUGUAGAUCAAUUUGGGGAGUACUGCCUACACAUCAGCUUCUGCAGACACCAUAAUGGUGAUAUAAUCAAAAAGAUUUUAAAAAAGUGACUCGACUUGUUGAAGGAUCAUGAAAGAAAGGAACAGGAUGCUGUGAUAGAAACCAGAAGAAAGAAAGAAACACCAAGUUAGAAAGAAUGGUCAGGGAAGCCUUCACUGAAGAGAUAACCCCUGACCUGAGGCCCAGGAGGAAAAGGGGAGCAAAGAAGAGCAUUCCAGGCUAAGGGGAUGGCACGGUCAAAGGCCCUAUGGCAGUCAGGAGGAGGGCUCUCUCCAGGAACUGAGGGCAGGGCAGCAGGGCUGACUCAGAGCCUGGCAAGCAAGACCGGGGAGGGGGGAGAAGGUACAGCAGGUGACGGCAAGUUUCUGGAAUGGUACCAGGAAACUGAUAAGCACGGUUACCUCCAGCCAGUGGGACUUGUACUUUUCACCUUAUUCCUGUCUCUGCUUCAGAAUCAACUGUUUUAGUAGUUUUACAAAAACCUGAUGUUAAAAAAUUACCCACCCCAAGACUGUAAAAAUAAAGAGAAGCUUCAGUUUUGUAGCUAUCAAAGAAAAGCCCAUUUAAAGACCUGGUACAGGGGCAGGCUCCGUAGCCGAGUGGUUAAGUUUGUGUGCUCCGCUGUGGCGGCCCAGGGUUCGGAUCCUGGGCGCGGACACGGCACCACUCCUCAGGCCACGGUGAGGCGGCGUCCCACAUCCCACAACUAGAAGGACCUGCAACUAAGAUAUACAACUGUGUACGGCAGGGUUUGGGGAGAUAAAGCAGAAAAAAAAAAAAAAGAAAGAAGAAAAAAAAAAACCUGGUACAGUAAUGAAAUGAGCACACUUAGAUGGACAAUACUCACUGCUAGUGAGGAUAGGAAGAAAGCGGCUCUUCUCUCCAUUGCCGCUGGCAGUAUAAACUGCUAAAGUGUCUAGAAAACAAUUUAACAAUACUUUCUGACAACAAUAAAAAUGUCCUAAUCUUCUGACCCACUCACGGGGUUUAUCCUAGAGCAAUAAUCCAAAUGAAAGUAAAAGCUAUAUAUGUACACAUGAAAAAGGCCCCGGUAUCUCCAAUGUCUGCUGCACUCAAUCCCCAAAAUAGUAUACCUGCUGACAACAGGGUAAUGAUUAAGUAAUGACUUGAUAAAAAGGGUUAAUGGAUUAAUUGCCUUAUGGUAAAUUAAUCUGAUGCUAUAUCAUACAAAUAUUAAAAACUGUAACUGUGAAAACUGAUUGUACCAACAUGGAAAAAUGUUUUAUGCAAAUGAUAAAACAGGCAUAUAAAGCCACACCUAUGCUACGACGACAGUAUAAAAGAUGUACACAGAGGAACAAGGACUGGAAGGAAACACGAGACAGUGAGCAAAGAUGAUCUGAUGCGGUGGUAGGAUUAUCGAGGAUUAUACCAUGUUUAAAUCUUAACUUAAAGGCCCUCCUUCCAGACAAAUAUUGGACACAAAAAGAUUAAAUAUACAAGGAUGAGAAAGCUUCUCCCUCAUUCCUCUCUCCCUUACCCACAUUCUGCUGAAAUCAGCUCAAGACGAGCUCCCUUUUAGUGGCCCUUGUUUCUUCUUUAAAAGGCUCAGCACUCUCUCUGCAGAGAGAAAGGCCCUUUGUUGAGGGGCGGCUCUAAUCCUCCAUCCAACCCUUUGUCAGCUCCUGUCCAUGGGAGCUGGGACUGAGGGGACUGGGACUGGACAAAGAGAAUGGUGUCCCCAGGAAGUGAUAAGGGUUGCAGCCCCUGAGAGCCCUACAGCUCACAGCUCCAUAUGGCCCCUCACAAGGGGAUGUGAGGGGCACUAUCUGUUUGUCCAUCUGUGCCCCACCCAGAAGAACAGACUUCUUCUUUAUUCCUUAGGAACAGACUAUGGUCCUGACCACAUGCAACCUAUCAGACAAACAGAGUGGAGGUUGAUGAGAAGAAGUCUCUGGAAGAUCAGUGUCCUAGUGGAUGGACCCAAAGCACGACAGAGCCAGAGAAAGAGGACUUCCUUCCUGGUUGCGGGUGCACGAAUGGCUUCUCCAGCACCAGACUCCUGCCCUAGUGCUCGCCCACAGCACAGAGCCGCCAACAGCUUCCUCCAGCAGCCCCCUCAGGCAAGGCCCUAGCUGAACGCCUCCCAUAAGGUCCCUCCCCUCGAACGCCUUUCUCGGCCCCAAAAGGGUGGAUUUCCAUAAAGUUCCAGAGUGCACCUUUCCUGUGAAUUUGUGGAUUUUUAUAUUAAACUUUCU